RNAcentral lists this small RNA (568 nucleotides) under Pan troglodytes (chimpanzee). RNAcentral's name for it is "processed transcript". Lineage: Eukaryota; Metazoa; Chordata; Mammalia; Primates; Hominidae. The record is from RNAcentral.
GAUUUUUGCAUUGGAUAUGAGAUCAGAUUGACUUUUAAGGGCUCGUCUGACUCUUUGCCUUUCAAGUUUUGAUCAGAAGUCUUAGCUUUUUUUCUCCAGGUUUAGAUUUAACAAUCUAAACCUAGUUCUAACAUUGUUAAAAGGGCCAAAUUCCAGGGUUCACCAGAUAAAUUUAACACAUAUGUGACCCUGAAAGUACAGAAUGUGAAGAGCACAACUGUAGCAGUUCGUGGUGAUCAGCCUUCCUGGGAACAGGAUUUCAUGUUUGAGAUUAGUCGCCUGGACCUGGGUCUAAGUGUGGAGGUAUGGAACAAAGGACUGAUCUGGGACACCAUGGUGGGGACUGUGUGGAUUGCGCUGAAGACUAUUCGUCAGUCGGAUGAGGAAGGGCCUGGGGAAUGGUCCACAUUAGAGGCAGAGACGUUAAUGAAAGACGAUGAGAUCUGUGGAACUAGAAACCCAACUCCUCAUAAAAUUUUGCUUGAUACAAGAUUUGAGUUGCCUUUUGAUAUCCCAGAGGAGGAAGCCAGAUAUUGGACCUACAAAUGGGAGCAAAUCAAUGCCUUGG